UUGCCCCUACGGGGCGCAGCAGUCGAGAAUCAUUCACAAUGGGGGAAACCCUGAUGGCGCGACGCCGCGUGGGGGAAUGAAGGUCUUCGGAUUGUAAACCCCUGUCAUGUGGGAGCAAAUUAAAAAGAUAGUACCACAAGAGGAAGAGACGGCUAACUCUGUGCCAGCAGCCGCGGUAAUACAGAGGUCUCAAGCGUUGUUCGGAAUCACUGGGCGUAAAGCGUGCGUAGGCUGUUUCGUAAGUCGUGUGUGAAAGGCCCGGGCUACACCCGCGGACG
This 278-nucleotide ribosomal RNA is filed under the name uncultured bacterium. Its description in RNAcentral is "partial 16S ribosomal RNA". It matches the Rfam family "Bacterial small subunit ribosomal RNA", at positions 333 to 622 of the family's 1533-position model. The record is from RNAcentral.